Non-coding RNA from Pantherophis guttatus, 1799 nucleotides. The record is from RefSeq and is a predicted model, not a curated record. NCBI's taxonomy places the organism in Eukaryota, Metazoa, Chordata, Lepidosauria, Squamata, Colubridae.
GAAAGAGGAAAGGCGGGUUCAAUGAUAAGACUAGAAAUGUCAACAGAGGCACUACCUUCUCUUCUGCCCUUCCUUUUUCCUAAAUUUUGCCAUCAAUUUCAGUGGAACAAUUCCAGGAGGAAGCCAAACACAUUCUGCCUGUGGAUCUACUCUGGUUCAGUAGAAGGCAAUGCAUGGAUGAAGUGUGUUUCUGUUUCCAAAGCACAAAUCCAUCCAUUAGAGAGCAGUUAAAGAUAACCUGUAGCAAAGAUAAUUGAUUAUACCCCUGUUUGUGUGCCCUUUUAAAAUUGGCACUAUAAACAAGCAUGAAAAAAAAAGAACCUUUUUCGUCUGCAGCAAUUGAAAAGCACAUCUUUUUGACUUGUUAGAGUAUUACUGGUCUUCAGCUUCACUUAUGUGGGUGCUUUGCAACACAGUAUUAUCCGGUUCAAACAGUCCAAGUGUGAAAUAUGGGUAAACCGCAUACCAAACUGGUACUAGAGAUCCAGCAGCACAAUAGUUUAAUUACAUUGUGGUCGUUUUCAAAGCCUUGAGUGCAAAGUGCUGUGGCUGCUUCCUUUUAGCAUGUGGUUUUGGAGACAGGCAGAGGGUGGAAUGGAAAACCGCCCAGCGUGCUCCAACAGACAUAUAAUUAAAGCUGAUGAGUCAUGAUUGGACAUGUGUUCCAAGGAAGGAACUCCUUGCCUAAGUCUUGAGUUCCUCCAACACCCUCUUUAAGGGAAGGAAUUUGGGCUGGUAAAUGAUUUCCAACCGUUCUCCAUUUAUUUUGAUUGAUUUCCCCCGUUUGCAUUUGCUCCCAACAGAACAAAAAAGUCCAUAUUGUCUAGAGAAUUUAAGAAGGACUGCAAAGGCAUAAGUCUAAAUUUCUCGUGGUAAGCUCUCUGAUUGACUUUGGGCCGCUUAGCGUUUCUUAAAUUAGCCUACCUUGUAGGGCUGUGAUAGGGUAAAAUGGGAGGGAUCCAUUUUUAUUCAUGCAGGGUACGGUGAAUAUGAACAUUACCAAAAAUAGCUGCGAAAAAGAUUCACUCAAACCCGAGGAAGAAUUUGGAUAGAUGAAGAACUUCCUGUUUAAAGGUAAAGGUUUCCCUCGCACAUAUGUGCUAGUCGUUCCCAACUCUAGGGGGUGGUACUCAUCUCUGUUUCAAAGCCGAAGAGCUAGCACUGUCCGAAGACGUCUCUGUGGUCAUGUGUUAGUUUCCCACCAAAGGUGGUCCCUAUUUUUCUACUUGCAUUUUUUACAUGCUUUCAAACUGCUAGGUUGGCAGAAGCUGGGACAAGUAAUGGGAGCUCACCCCGCUACGCAGCACUAGGGAUUCGAACCGCUGAACUGCCGACCUUUCGAUCCACAAGCUCAGCAUCUUAGCCACUGAGCCAUGAUGAAGAACUUCCUGUUUAGGCAACCAGAUAUAAAGGAAAUCUUGCCUCUCUGCUUCUGUCUCUAUGAUAUUAAGUGAGUGGGGGCCCCUGCCUCUUCCGCAGCCACUGAGCAUCUGGCACGCAGCCAGGAGAACAGGAAGAGCCUCAGGGAUAUGCAAAUGCCUCCCUGGAUUGUACUGUCUGCCUCAAUCUGAAUCAGUCCUAGGGACGAAACAGGACCACCCUCAGACAGGGAAGACCAAAGGCUAAAAUGGUUCUAGCCCACAGCCAAGAAACUUUAUUUGAAGCCCAGAGAGAAUGAACCACCCAUCAGAGAUAAGAGGCUACUCAAGAGAUCCAUGAUCAAUUUUCAUUCUUUGGAGCAUAGACAUUUCAGAGCCUGUGUCAAUAAAUAAAUAAAUAAAUGUUCGUCUUAUCUUUUA